UACGUAGGUGGCAAGCGUUGUCCGGAUUUAUUGGGUUUAAAGGGUGCGUAGGCGGCCUUCUAAGUCAGUUGUGAAAUAUCCCGGCUUAACCGGGAGGGUGCGAUUGAUACUGGGAGGCUUGAGUUCCGGUGAGGUAGGCGGAAUUGAAGGUGUAGCGGUGAAAUGCAUAGAUAUCUUCAAGAACACCGAUAGCGAAGGCAGCUUACUAAUGGGAAACUGACGCUGAGGCACGAAAGUGUGGGGAUCAAACAGG
This 253-nucleotide ribosomal RNA is filed under the name uncultured bacterium. RNAcentral's name for it is "partial 16S ribosomal RNA". It matches the Rfam family "Bacterial small subunit ribosomal RNA", at positions 524 to 776 of the family's 1533-position model. The record is from RNAcentral.